This 518-nucleotide ribosomal RNA is filed under the name Lacticaseibacillus casei. Its description in RNAcentral is "bacterial SSU rRNA". It matches the Rfam family "Bacterial small subunit ribosomal RNA", at positions 27 to 509 of the family's 1533-position model. The record is from RNAcentral. Lineage: Bacteria; Bacillati; Bacillota; Bacilli; Lactobacillales; Lactobacillaceae.
GGAUGAACGCUGGCGGCGUGCCUAAUACAUGCAAGUCGAACGAGUUCUCGUUGAUGAUCGGUGCUUGCACCGAGAUUCAACAUGGAACGAGUGGCGGACGGGUGAGUAACACGUGGGUAACCUGCCCUUAAGUGGGGGAUAACAUUUGGAAACAGAUGCUAAUACCGCAUAGAUCCAAGAACCGCAUGGUUCUUGGCUGAAAGAUGGCGUAAGCUAUCGCUUUUGGAUGGACCCGCGGCGUAUUAGCUAGUUGGUGAGGUAAUGGCUCACCAAGGCGAUGAUACGUAGCCGAACUGAGAGGUUGAUCGGCCACAUUGGGACUGAGACACGGCCCAAACUCCUACGGGAGGCAGCAGUAGGGAAUCUUCCACAAUGGACGCAAGUCUGAUGGAGCAACGCCGCGUGAGUGAAGAAGGCUUUCGGGUCGUAAAACUCUGUUGUUGGAGAAGAAUGGUCGGCAGAGUAACUGUUGUCGGCGUGACGGUAUCCAACCAGAAAGCCACGGCUAACUACGUGCC